GCCGGGGUAGCUCAGUCCGGUAGAGCAACGCACUCGUAAUGCGUAGGUCGUGGGUUCAAAUCCCGUCCCCGGCU
This 74-nucleotide transfer RNA is filed under the name Actinomycetes bacterium. RNAcentral describes it as "tRNA-Thr". It matches the Rfam family "tRNA". From Rfam's summary of the family: Transfer RNA (tRNA) molecules are approximately 80 nucleotides in length. Their secondary structure includes four short double-helical elements and three loops (D, anti-codon, and T loops). Lineage: Bacteria; Bacillati; Actinomycetota; Actinomycetes. The record is from RNAcentral. RNAcentral also lists the same sequence under 2 other names.